UAUCGCUUUUCACGUUGUGCAUCGCGCUAGCUACGGAAGCCAUUAUAUACACACAGAUUUUUAUUGUCAGGCUGCUCUCUGCAAACAACAAAAGAAGGAAGUUAUCCCGUACAAUUUUGGAUUUUGAGGUGUAGGCGUAGGCGAGGGAUAUAAUCUUCAAGUCAUCUGGACUGAAUAAAUCCUGAAUAGCUAUAGCUGCAUGGUCAUUGAAAUACGGAAUCACAUACUCUGCAUUAACAGCGCUCAUGGAAAUUUUAAAUAUUUUUACAAAUUAUACAUUUCCAAAGGAUUCUAGAACGAUUUUGCAAACUCCAAAGCAUACAGAUAUUGUCACCAUGGGCGAUGAUGGCAUAUCAAUAUCAAGAUCCUCAAAAGGUUGUUUUUGGCCUAUCCUUGUAUCUAAAAACCUAUGUCGAAAAGUAUAUGUCGCAGGAAUAUAUUAUGGAUAUACAAAACCAAACGAUGCCAAUGAAUUUUUAAGACGAUUUGUAUCUGAUAUGAAACCUUGAAAAGCCAUACAGGAUUUUUUAGCUGCACAAAAUGUACUAUAAAAGCGAAAACAGUAUCAUAGAAUUUGAGGAUGGCCUGGCAAUAGUGUCUUCAUUUUGGUUGAACGACGAUGGAACCCAAUGUGCUUAUCCCACGUUUCGGGAUCCAAUAAAAAUAAAAAAAGCUGUUGUGUCUCAUAUGUCUCCCGAAGAUAACCCGAACUGGAAAACAUAUAAUGUAUCAAGGAUCUUCUGCAAAAUAAAUUUAUACGAAAGAGCAAAAGAAAAACUAUUCCUGGUUGAACAGUUUUCAGAUGUAACGGCUGAAGAAGGCAUAGAAGAUGACAUCAAAAGAUACGAAAGACAAAAACAAUCGAGGCAUAUGCGAACUAAAAAAAAAUAUUCUUCAUCAGAGGAGUGCGAAUUCGACUUUGAUAGAAGUCAGAAAGUAACAAAAUUACCACCUUUUCCGAAAAUUCCAGAACAAUUAUACGCCUCAAAAGAAAAAGAAAUGUACAAGUCAAAAGAUAUCUUCAUUGUCACAACCGAAACGAUCUAAAUCUGAAUGUCAAACAAAUCCUAUUUUACAUACAACUCCAUCCAAAGAAGCAACAUUAUGUACAUUCACAGAAUGGAAUUAUCAUGAUAAUGCAUCCGAUUAUAAUGACAAUGUGCAAGAUACAAUGAAUAAAACGCAUCAGAAUACAUCUAUGAAAAGCAAGAACAUAAUGGCAGAAAAUGAAUUUCAAAAAGAGAUUCUAAGGAAAUUGCAAUUAAUACUAUAUAAAAUAACUGCUGUAGAAAAUAGAAUAGUCAUGUUGGAAACAUCAAACAUGCGGCUGAUUAAUAAGGAGGCAGCCGAUGUUAUACAGUAUGAAGAAUAUAAUAUGCCACUGCAAAAUUUGGCGGCGUUGCAACAAUUGGAACAACUACAAGAAAACUUAUUUGCAAAUAAAAUGGUACAAACGCUGAAACAAACAGGUGGAGUAAACUUGUCGAAUAUAAUCCCGAAUAUUCUAAAAAAGAUACUAACAAGGGAACUGUCAGGGGUGUCCCUCACCGAUUUGAUUCUCCUUGAAAUAUGUUAUAAAACAAACAAAUCAAAGAGACACGUAUUUUUUUAUAUCGGCCCAAUCUCAUGUUUAAGGGAUGAAACAACCAUUUGAAAAAAAACGGUCUUUUUCUUUGAGAUCGAAUAUUGUCGAAACUAUAAGACACA
RNAcentral lists this unclassified non-coding RNA (1707 nucleotides) under Harpegnathos saltator (Jerdon's jumping ant). RNAcentral's name for it is "uncharacterized LOC105181463, transcript variant X1". The record is from RNAcentral. Lineage: Eukaryota; Metazoa; Arthropoda; Insecta; Hymenoptera; Formicidae.